CUGCUGGAGCGACCUGGUGAACUGAAAUAUCUAAGUAACCAGAGGAAAAGAAAUCAACCGAGAUUCCGUAAGUAGCGACGAGCGAACGCGGACUAGCCCUUAAGCUGAUUUGGUUCUAGGAAAACACUCUGGAAAGAGUGGCCAUAGAAGGUGAUAGCCCUGUAUCUGAAAGGGCCAUUUCAGUGAAGACGAGUAGGGCGGGGCACGUGAAACCCUGUCUGAACAUGGGGGGACCAUCCUCCAAGGCUAAAUACUACUGACCGACCGAUAGUGAACCAGUACCGUGAGGGAAAGGCGAAAAGAACCCCGGAGAGGGGAGUGAAAUAGAACCUGAAACCGUGUGCGUACAAGCAGUAGGAGCUCCGCAAGGAGUGACUGCGUACCUUUUGUAUAAUGGGUCAGCGACUUACUGUUCGUGGCAAGCUUAACCGUAUAGGGGAGGCGAAGGGAAACCGAGUCUGAUAAGGGCGCAUAGUCGCGGGCAGUAGAUCCGAAACCGGGUGAUCUAGUCAUGCCCAGGGUGAAGGUGCGGUAACACGCACUGGAGGCCCGAACCCACUCCCGUUGCAAAGGUAGGGGAUGAGGUGUGAUUAGGAGUGAAAAGCUAAUCGAACCCGGAGAUAGCUGGUUCUCCUCGAAAAGCUAUUUUAGGUAGCGCCUCAUAUGUUAUCCCUCUCGGGUGGUAGA
Molecule: ribosomal RNA, 687 nt
Filed under: Stenotrophomonas maltophilia
Lineage: Bacteria; Pseudomonadati; Pseudomonadota; Gammaproteobacteria; Lysobacterales; Lysobacteraceae
Description: bacterial LSU rRNA
Rfam family: Bacterial large subunit ribosomal RNA
Source: RNAcentral